UUGUACAGCAGGAACCUGUCAAACUCAUGACCUCUGGCACAAGGAACUGCGGCCAGCUCAGGCUGUGGUCACAGCUGGAAUCUUGGUAUUGAGCUAUUUCUCUCUCAUCCCCUGCAUAUCUAUGAUGAAACUGUUCCUGAAUCAUGGAAGGAUAAUCUCAGAGUUAAGGGACAACAGCAGCAUGCAAUACAGUUCGAAUGCAUCGGCUCUUCUUCUGUGAGGACACAAGCAUAUUGGAAGCCACUCCUCACCUGAGCGCUCCCCAGCACAGAGGUGGGUUAGGUGAUUUUUCCCCGAGGGAGCUUAUGAG
Tympanuchus pallidicinctus (lesser prairie-chicken) is the source of this 310-nucleotide long non-coding RNA. RefSeq lists it as uncharacterized. The record is from RefSeq and is a predicted model, not a curated record. NCBI's taxonomy places the organism in Eukaryota, Metazoa, Chordata, Aves, Galliformes, Phasianidae. The transcript has 3 exons.